RNAcentral lists this long non-coding RNA (526 nucleotides) under Equus caballus (horse). Its description in RNAcentral is "lncRNA (ENSECAG00000056129.1)". Lineage: Eukaryota; Metazoa; Chordata; Mammalia; Perissodactyla; Equidae. The record is from RNAcentral.
GCAAAUCAAGAACUCACUGCGGCUGACCCCGUUCUCAGAGCAGGGAUCCACAGCGAACAGACAGUUUCUUCUCUCACGUGGUUGACAUUCCUGUGGGUGGAAAUGACAACAGAAGGGUAUAAAAUGAGUACAUCAAUUUCACAUGGGGACAAGUUCUGUGCAGGACAUAGGGACACGACGUGGGUGCCGAGAGCUUCUUUAGACGGGUGGUCAGGGCUGUCCUCUGAGCAGGUGACACCUGAGCAGAGCAUGGAAGGACAUGAGGGGCAGUAUGACCGCACAAAGAGCACAAUCUGCUCUCCCCGAGACAAAAGCCAGUCGUCAAGAGGGUGGGUGUGGAGAGUAAACUUCGAGGCGGGGAGACGACAGUCGGCAGGAGAACCCACAGGGCUGUCACAGUGACCCGAGCAAGGACUGAGCUGCCCGCUCGCGAGAGCAGGGGAUGGGGGCGGACAGAUGGACAGACUGGAGGCCUGUUUCGAAUUUAGCGUCUUCGAGGUAGGCUGGAGAAGAGGGGGACCCCAGG